This is an RNA transcript of Callithrix jacchus (white-tufted-ear marmoset), 23433 nucleotides long. RefSeq lists it as uncharacterized. The record is from RefSeq and is a predicted model, not a curated record. NCBI's taxonomy places the organism in Eukaryota, Metazoa, Chordata, Mammalia, Primates, Cebidae.
AGGGAUAAAAGACUACACAUUGGAUACAGUGUACACUGCUUGAGUGACAAGUGCACUAAAAUCUCAGAAAUCAGUGCUAAAGAAUGUAUGUGCAUAGCUGGGUGUGGUGGCUCACACCUAUAAUCCCAGCACUUUGGGAGGCCAAGGCAGGCAGAUAACCUGAGGUCAUGAGUUCGAGACCAGCCUGGCCAACAUGGCAAAACCCCGUCUCUACUAAAAAUGCAAAAAGUAGCCGGGUGUGGUGGUGCGUGCCUGUAGUCCCAGCUACUUAGGAGGCUGAGGGAGAGGAUCACCUGAAUGCAGGAGACAGAGGUUACAGUGCGCCAAGAUCGGGCCACUGGACUCAGGCCUGAGCAACAGAGCAAGACUCUGCCUCAAAAAAAAAAAAAAAAAAAGAAAAGAAAAGCAAAAAGAAUGUACCCACACAACCAAACACCACCUGUACCCCAAAAACUAUUGAAAUUAAAAAUAAUUUUUGUAAAAGAAAGAAAUGAGGUCUACAUGUAAAAGUGGCUAAAAAUGAUACACACACACACAAAGGAAUAUGAUUCAGGCUUAUUAAAAGGAAGGCAAUUCCGGCACAGGCCACAGCAGGAAUGAGCCUUGAGGCCAGGAUGCUAAGUGAUGUCAGCCCGUCACAAAAGGACAAAUGCGACUGUGCGAUUCCACUUCCAUGGGUGCAGACAGUGGUCAGAUUGCUGGAGACAGAGAGCAGGACGCUGGCUGCCAGGGCCGGGAGACGGAGAGACAGGAGCUGGGGUUACCAUUUCAUGGACGCGGAGUUGCGUCCCCUUUGAUGAGGCAUUCUGGAGGCGGAUGGUGGCGACACUCACCCAUCUACGCAAUGGCUGAGUGUCCUCCAUGCCACCGAACUGGUUAAGAUGCCACCAAGAUGGGAAUAUUUUCGGUCAGUUUUCAACGUAUUAAAGAAAACGUGUUCUUCUCCGCAAGAAAGCAAAGUUUACCCACUGGUCUAGCACAGAAUGCAAAAGGCUUUGUUUCCUGAACGUAUUCUUGACAGAUGCAGAGCUUAUAACUUGCAGUGAAUGCCAAGAAUGAAGUACUCAGACAGUUCCAGCUGAGUGCGGGGGGAUAGGGAGUAGCUCUUCCUAGAGAGUUCACCCCAGCAUCUGUCCACCAGGCAAACCUGAGUUCCAGCUACAAGGUACUAUCUGCAGUUUGUCCAUCUGGAGCUUUGCUUGGUUCUGCAAUGAGAGGCUUAUAAAUAGACACAUCAAGUGCCUGAUACUCAAUCCAUGGCAGCUGUUAUUAAUAAGAAAAUCUCAUUUGCAAAAGGCUUUUUCUACACAGUUGAAUUGGUCCAGUGAAGUAAUCCUAUUAAAAACAAAAACCUGUCUCAAGAGGCCCAGGAGAAGUAUGUUAUUUGCAUAGAUUUGCAUAUCAAUUCAUAGCUGGUGAAAUUCCUCAUUAAGGAGUAGAUUUCUCCAAGUUGCUGAAACCCAAGAGGGCACAUAUUUUGAGCCAAUUAAUUUUAUGAUCAGGAAGAGUCUUGCUCUCCCUGCUACCUACCUCUCCCCCCAACAAAAGUAAGACUUCACCCCAAACCCAGGUGUUACCUGGAAAUUCUGACUGGAGAGUGGGGGUGCAAAGGCAGGUUGGUCUGCCUGGAUAUUUAUUGAUUGGAGAGUCUGAAGGAGGGAGGCAAGAAACACUUAAAGCCAGGAGCCAGCCCCAAGCCAGAGUUUGUAUCCCUCUCUGAGAAUCAGAUGCUGUAAAUGAAACCCAGACCAGGGGCUUCUCCAGCACCUUCUCUCCUGUCCAGCAUUCUUACCUGAGGUGUAUCUCCCUACAUCCACAUUUCCCUUAGUUCCAUUCUUCUUGUCCCCCCGACACAUUUCCCUCACCUUUGGUGCUUCCAACAGUAAAGCAGGAAUAAAAAUAAUUAAUAAUCCUACCUCUGGGAUUAAGAAGGAGAGGAGGAGAGGGCUAGUGCAUAAUGUGGGCUGAAUAACCAAGAAAUGUUAGCUGUUUGUUUCAGUUGUCUGUUACUUGCAUAACAAACUACCCUAUAACUUAGUGGCUUAAGACAACAGCGUUGCUUGCUCAAAAUUCUGUGAGUCAGAAAUUCAGAGUAGGUUCAGAUGGGAGGCUUGCUCCAUGUGGCAUCGGCAGGGGUCAUUCAAUCAGCAGCAUAAGCCAGUGGCUAGGUUAGAAUGGAAUUUUCAAGAAGGCGUCACUAUUCUGGGGUGCCUCUGUGCUUUUCCCUGUGGCCAUUCUCUACAUGUAGCUAGCUUGGGCUUCCUCACAACAUAGUGGUUGCAUACUUUUUAUCUAGCAGCCAGCUUCUAAAAGGAGGUGUUCGAAAGAGGAAAGCAGAGCUGCCAAUCUCCAAGGCCUAGUCUUAGGAAUUACAGGGUCACUUUCAUUGUGUUCUGUUGGUCAAAACUACUCCGAGCCUAGCACAAAUAUAAAGGGGGAGGGGAUAAACUCCAUUUCUUAUUUAUUUAUUUAAAGAUGGGGUCUUGCUCUGCUGUCCAGGCUGGAAUUCAGUGACACAGUCGUGACUCACUGCAGCCUCAACCUCCCAAGCUCCGGCAAUCCUCUCACCUCAGUCUCCUGAGCAGCUAGGACUAUAGGCAUGGGCCACCAUGCCCAGCUAAUUUUUCUAAUAUUUUGUAAAGACAGGGUCACCCUAUGUUACCCAGGCUAGUCUCCAACUCAUCAACUUAAGCAGUCCUCCUGCCUCAGGCCCACAAAGUGCUAGGAUUACAGGUAUGAGCCACUGAGCCUAGCCAACUCCAUUCUUGACGGGAAAGUGGCAAAGAAUGUGCAGCCAUCUUUAACCUACCACAUUGUUGACCGACAAUCUCAUUCAUUUCAUCUGUGGCCUUGAGAAUUUUCCCAAGACAAGAUCACAGAUAUUUUUUCAAAACACUGACCCGAACAUGUUAUCAUCUCUCUAAUAAAGCCUUCAAGACCUUCAUUACCUAUAGAAAACAAUUCAAGUUCCCUAGGUUGACAUUGGAGACCCUUCAAAACUUGUACUCUACCUCUCCAGCCUGACUUCUAACCGGCAAGCACACAUGUGCACGUACCUCCUCCCACAAGUUUACAGACACUAUCACACAAGCAAAAACACACACACACUCAAACACAUACAUGCUGUUGACUGCCGACUUCCCAGAAAGACCACCAGAAUAACCCAUGCAUCAAACAAAGCCAUGACUUUUUUUUCCAAACUGCUGUCAGAGGCAGCAAAUUAAUCCUGAUCAGGCCAUAGGAGUGUCUCAGAGGGGUAGACAAGUGGCAGAUACCUAUUGGAUUUUAGUGUUCUAAUUCAAGUGGUUUGGCCGGGCAGCCUGUAAUCUUAGCAAUUUGGGAGGCCUAGGUGGGUGGAUCACCUGAGAUCAGGAGUUCAAGACCAGCCUAGCCAACAUGGUGAAAUCUGGUCUCUACUGAAUAUACAAAAAUUUGCCAGGGGUGGUGCAUGUCUAUAAUCCCAAAUCCUCAGGAGGCUGAGGCAGGAGAAUCACUUGAACCCGGGAGGAGGAGGUUGCAGUGAGCCGAGAUUGUGCCACUGCACUCCAGUCUGGGCAACAGAGCAAGACUCCAUCUCAAAAAAAGAAAAAUAAGUGAUUUAAGGUGGGUCUUUGAAUGUGUGGAACUGAUUAGGAUUGGGCAAAGUUUUUGAGGUUCUAAUUUAGGAUGGGGGCCACAGUGGGGCAAGAGCAAGAAAGCGAGUUUUGAUUAGGAUGCAAUUGAUUGGCAAGUAAACUUUCUGCCCAGGUGAGCAUCCAGCUGUCCAGAGAAAGGAGUUACCUGCCCAAGUAAGCAACACCUUGUUUAAACAGGUUUUCAAGAAUUUCCAGAGCAAACAGUGAGGUAUUUAUUGGUUUAGAGUUUUAUCUUCUCAGGCAAGAAUGUUCUGGAAUAAAUAGUGGGCAUGUUGACACAGGUGGUUUCAGUCUUCAGUCCUGAUAACUAAGCCACAUGGACCUCAGUCCUUAACACACACAGUCACCUUCAUCUUCCCCAGUCUCUGCAGUUUCUUUUUUUUUUUUUUUUUUGAGACAGAAUCUCACUCUGUCACUCAGCAGGCUGGAGUGCAGUGGCACAAUCUCAGCCCUCUGCAACCUCCACUUCCCGGGUUCAAGAGAUUCUCGUGCUUCAGCCUCCUGAGUAGCUGGGAUUACAGGUGCGUGCCACCACACCCAGCUAAUUUUUGUAUUUUUAGUACAUUUGGAGUUUCACCAUGUUGGCCAGGCUGGUCUUGAACUCCUGACCUUAGGGGAUCCACCUGCCUCAGCCUCCCAAAGUGCUGGGAUUACAGGCAUAAGCCCCCACGCCCAGCGUAGUGUCUGCAUUUUCAUUUUCAUAUCACACCCUCUGCCCUAACAUUUUCAUGUCACACCCUCUGCCCUCUAAAAAUUUUUGUAUUUUUAGAGCACAAAUUAAAUGUAAUGUGUGCUCAUUACUGAAAAGUCCAAGAAUAGAAAAGGUUAGGGCUGGGUGAGGUGGCUCACACCUGUAAUCCUAGCACUUUGGGAGGCUGAGGUAGGUGGAUCCCCUGAGGUCAGGAGGUCCAGACCAGCCUGGCCAACAUCAAGAAACCCUCUCUCUACUAAAAAUACAAAAUUAGGGCUGGGCACAGUGGCUCACACCUGUAAUCCCAGCACUCUGGGAGGCCGAGUCGGGCGGACCACAAGGUCAGGAGAUCGAGAUCAUCCUCGUCACCAUAGUGAAACCUCGUCUCUACUAAAAAUACAAAAAUUACCUGGGCAUGGUGGCACGUGCCUGUAGUCCCAGCUACUUGGGAGGCUGAGGCAGGUGAAUUGCUUGAACCCAGGAGGCAGAGGUUUCAGUGAGCCAAGAUCGCGCCACUGCACUCCAGCCUGGUACCUGGCAACGGAGGGAGGCUCUGUCUCAAAAAAAAAAAUACAAAAUUAGCCAAGCAUGAUGGCACAUGCCUGUAAUCCCAGCUAAUAUGGAGGCUGAAAUAGGAGACUCACUUGAACCUGGGAGGCUGAGGUUGCAGUGAGCCGAGGUUGCUCCACUGCACACCACCCUAGGCAACAAGAGCAGAACUCCAUCUCGAAAAAAACAAAAGAAAAAGAAAGACACCAAGCUGUAAUCAGUCUAGCAGUUCCUGUGCUUACUUCCAUUUUCUGUAUGUCACUUUCCUUUUUUUGUCCAUAAAUCUUAUCGAAUCAUCUAGUUGCCCUGGAGUCCUCUAAAUCUGUCUGGUUCUGAGGGCUGCCCAGAGCAUUUUUUUUCUUUCUCACUCAAUUAAACUUUGUUAAUUUAAUUUGUCUCAAGUUUUUCUUCUAAUAUUUGAUGUCAGAAGUGAGGAUGUAAAGUAAAAUUCCAGUGCACCAGGUGACCAGUUCAGGUACCCACGAAUCCAACUGUGUUCACUGCCCUCUUGGUAACUGGAGGGCCAUGGGUGGCUUUUCCUUUUUUUUUUUUUUUUUUUGAGACAGAGUCUCUGUUGCCUAGGCUAGAGUGCAGUGGCACAAUCUUGGCUCACUGCAACCUCCACCUCCCAGGUUCAAGGGUUUUUCCUGCCUUGGCCUCCUGAGUACCUGAGCCACCAUGCUCAGCUAAUUUUUGUAUAUUUAGUAGAGAUGGGGUUUCACCAUGUUGGCCAGGCUGGUCUUGAAAUCCUGAUGUCAAGUGAUCCACCCGCCAAGGCCUCGCAAAGUGCUGGGAUUACAGGUGUGAGCCACUGUACCUGGCUGAUGGGUGGCUUUUCUCUUAUAUUCCAAGUUCCACUAAAUUAUGCUUUAAGCUAAGUUGAUUUGAGCAAUAUUUAGACUGAUCUGAGUUCAAGAUCAGAUUGAAUUUGAUAAUUAACUGCAUUAGAUUCAGUUAAAAGACUUAGGCUUUAGAUAGUGCUUUUCUGAUAACGAGUUCAUCUCAAUUCAAGUCUGGGACUCUACCUUCUAGAGUUCCAGAUAAUCUUAUGUUUAAAAGCUGGGAUUACAGACAUGAGCCACAGCACCCAGCCCCCCAAAAAAAAAAAAUGUUUUUUAACAGCCAGGUGUGGUGGCAAAUGCCUGUACUCCCAGCUACUCGGGAGGUUGAGGUGGAAGGAUCACCUGAGCCUGAGAGAUCGAAGCUGCUAUGAGCCAUGAUUGCACCACUGCACUCCAGCCUGGGCCAUGGAGCCAACUUUUUUGCUUCAUUACCCUUUUACCCUGAAGAUGAUGAAAAAAGAGAAGUUAGACAGAUGUAUUCCUGCUGUAACCACCUUCACUCCAUGGCUUAAAACAGAGUUUAAAGCUAUUAUGAAAGACUUCCCUAGCCUACAGGAAAAUCCUCAAAAAUUUACUGAAGAAUCAUCUUGAAUUGUAAUGAAAAAUAAAUAAAUAAAAUUUAAAAAUUUGCUGAAGAAUGGUCCAGACAUGGUGGCUCACACAUGUAAUCCCAGCACUUUGAGAGGCUGAGUGGGUGGAUGACCUGAGGUUGGGAGUUCGAAACCAGCCUGACCAACAUGGAGAAACCCCAUCUUUACUAAAAAUACAAAAUUAGCCAGGCAUAGUGGUGCACUCCUGUGAUCCCAGCUACUCAGGAGGCUGAGGCAGGAGAAUUGCUUCAACCUGGGAGGCAGAGGUUGUGGUGAGCUGAGGUCGCAUCACUGCACUCCAGCCUGGGUGACAGAGCAAGACCUUAUCUCAAAAAAAAAAUUACUGAGGAAUUUAGAAUUCUUUUUGGAGCUUACAAUUCAUGACUCCCUGACCUUUACGAGUUUAUCCACAUGAUAUUGGGGCCUGACGAAGCUUGAAAAUGGCUGGCAGCAACUCCAUGGGACAGACCUGAGGAGAAUAUGAAAGAACCCCCAAAACCUCUUCAUGAGAAGGGCUAAAAGGAACUAGAAGAAUUGCAGAAAACCUUUUAAGUUCAAUUCCUAAGAUUUUUCCGCACACAGAAAAAUUGAUUGGUCCAUCAUACUAUCCUGUAGACAAAAACAGGAUGAACCAGUUUCAGAUGAAAGAACCCGCUUAGAAACAUUGUGAAAUAUUCUGGGCUGAAAGUAGAGCAAGGAGUAUUUCCUGCAGGGACUGAAAUGGCAUUAACCUCUCUUUAUAAGUGGACUCCACUCUGAACUUAACAGUUUAAUUAAAAAAAAAAAACAUAAACCUGGAUGGGAAGUUACAGAUAUGCUUGAAUUGGUGGCCUUAACUGAACAUUUUGAGAUGACUCUAGUGUGAAAAAACAAAAAGCCAAAAGGCUAAUAAGCUUAUAUCUCUCCAAUUACAACAGUUACAGGGGCCCAGACCAAAAGGAUCUUCUCGUUUUUAUUUUAAAUCACAAACAAGAGGUCCUAGAACAAGAAAUUAUUUACUCUGAGGUGUCUGCCUUCAUUACAAACCACAGGGGAAUGCAACAGGGGGUUACUAAAGUCUUCCUUACUUUGGGGAGACUGGAAAAAUGAUUGCCCACUUUCAUGUCAGUCCACCAGCAAGCUUCCUCCCUUUGGGACCAGUCUGUGAUACGGUUUGACUGUGUCCCCACCCAGAUCUCAUCUUGAAUUCCCACGUGUUGUGGGAGGAACCCCGUAGGAGGUAAUUGAAUAAUGGGGGUAAGUCUUUCCCAUGCUAUUCUUGUAAUAGUGAAUAAGUCUCACAAGACCUGUUUUUUUUUUGAGACAGAGUCUUGCUCUGUCACCCAGGCUGGAGUGCAAUGGCACAAUCUUGACUCACUGCAACCUCCACCUCCCAGGUUCAAGCAAUUAUCCUGCCUCAGCCUCCCAAGUAGCUGGGACUGUAGGUGCAUGCCAUCACACCCAGCUAAUUUUUUUUAUUUUUAGUAGAGAUGGGGUUUCACCAUGUUAGCCAGGAUGGUGUUUAUCUCCUGACCUUGUGAUCCACCCACCUUGGCCUCUCAAAGUAGGGAUUACAGGUGUGCGCCACCAUGCUCGGUCAAUCUAAUGGUUUUAUAAAGAGGAGUUCUCCUGCACAAGUUCUCUCCUUUUGCCUGCUGCCAUCCAUGUAAGACAUGAUUGCUCCCCCUUGCCUUUUGCCAUGGUUGUAAGGCCUCCCCAGCCAUGCGAAACUGUAAAUCCAUUAAACCUCUGUUUCUUCCCAGUCUCAGGUAUGUCUUUAUUAGCAGCAUGAAAAUGAAUUAAUAGAUCCUGUUUCAUCUCCAAUGAGUACACAAGAUAUGUCAGUUCUUGUGAUGAUAGUCAGCAUGAAUGAGGCUCCAAGAGAGUCUCCAAUUUUGUAAAAUGCUUAAGUAAACAUGGAGAAACAAGAGUUAAAUGAAUAAAUGAAUGAAUGAAUGAAUGAAUGAAUGAAUGAAGAGGCAGAGUAUAGUGGCUCACACCUAUAGUCCCAGCACUUUGGAAGGCCAAGGUGGGUAGAUAGCCUGAGCCCAUGAGUUUGAGACUAAACUGUGCAAAAUCCCAUCUCUACCAAAAAAUAGUAAUAAUAAUAAUACAAAAAUUAGCCAGGCAUGGUAGUGUGUGCCUAUAGUCCUAGCUGUUGCUGAGGCUAAGGUGGCAGAAUCUCUUGUGCCCAGGAGGCACAGAUUGUAGUGAGUGGAGAUUGUACCCUUGCACUCCAGCCUGGGUGACAGAGCAAGACCCUGUCUCAAAUAAAUAAGAAUUUUCAUUUUAAUGAAGAUUCUGAGCUGGGCACGGUGGCUCAUGCCUGUAAUCUCAACACUUUGGGAGGCCGAGGCAGACGAAUCAUAAGGUCAGGAGUUCAAGACCAGCCUGGCCAACAUGGUGAAACCCCGUCUCUACUAAAAAUACAAGAAAUUAGCUGGGCGUAAUGGCAGAUACCUAUCAUCCCAGCUACUCAGGAGGCUGAGGCAGGAGAAUUACUUGAACCUGGGAGGCAGAGGUUGCAGUGAGCCGAGAUCACCACUGCACUUCAGCCCAGGCAGUGGAGUGAGACUCCAUCUCAAAAGGAAAAAAAAAAGUAUCUAGGCUGGGCAGAGUGGCUUACACCUGUAAUCCCAGCACUUUGGGAGGCCGAAGCAUGUGAAUCAUGAGGUCAGGAGUUUGAGACCAGCCUGACCAACACAGUGAAACCCUGUCUCUACUAAAAAUACAAAAAAUUAGCUGGGUGUAGUGGCGGCUGUCUAUAAUCUGAGCUACUCAGGAGGCUGAGGCAAGAGAAUUGCUUGAACCCAGGAGGCGGAGGUUGCAGUGAGCCAAGAUCGUGCCACUCCACAGCCCGGCAACAGAGUGAGACUCCAUCUCAAAAAAUAAAUAAAUAAAUUAUAAAAAAUAAAACAUGAAGAAUCUUGUGCUGUCUUGGUGGAUAUCAGAACCACCUCAUUCAUAAACCCCACUUUAAUAUGCCAACAAAUCUUGCAUAUUGAAAAGGUCAUUUCUGUGGUGGGUUGGGGUCAUUUCAACCAAGUUCAAGAGGUUUCCUUAUCUGAACCCAUUCAAUUGACUUUGGGGCUAUUUUCAGAAAAACAUACCUUUUUACUGUGAUACUGCUCCAGUAUACUUGCUAGGUUGAGACUUACUUUCAACACUAAAAGGCAUAUCAAUAUCUCCUCGGAGAAAAAAAUUAAUCUUAGAGUUUCCCGACUCUCCUGAACCAGAACUGUUCUCUCUACAGACAGAAAUUGAUAAGAUCGACUCUCAAACCUGUAAUAACCCUGACAUUUAUAAAACACCUGAAUGCUUAUGGGCCUCUUUCUCAAAUGAUAUAGGAAGGACUAAAAGGGUGGAACCUAUAAAAGUGCAAAUGGAUCAUUCUAAACCUCUACCUAAGUUACCCCAAUCCACUAAUACCAGAAGCAAUUCGAGGGCUCUCACCAAUUGCACAAGAUUUACAAUUCUGUGUUAUCAGUCCUUGAAAUGCUCCAAUCCUACCAGUUAAAAAAAAAAAAUACUAAGUGGCUGGGAGGCAAUGGCUCACGCCUGUAGUUCCAGCACUUUGGGAGGCCAAGGCAGGCAGACCACUUGAGGCCAGGAGUUCAAGACCAGCCUGGCGAACAUAAUGAAACCCUGUCUCUACUGAAAAUACAAAAAUUAACCAGAUGUGGUAGCACACACCUCUACUACUAGCUACUAGGAAGGCCGAAGCAGGAGAAUUGCUUGAACCCAGGAAGCAGAGGUUGCAGUGAGUCAAGAUCAUGCCAUUGCACUCCAGCCUGGGUGUCAGAACAAGACUCUGUCUCAAAAACAAAACAAAUAAGAUGAGGUCAGAGAUUUGUUUUUGUUCAAGAUUCAUGGGCAAUUAAUAAAAUUGUAAUACCAAGUCUUUCUGUGGUUCCAAACUCUAAAACUUUAUUAUCUAAUUUACCCUCUGAUUCAAAGUGGUUCACAGUAACAGACCGCUCUUAGCCUUCUUUAGCAUUCCCGUUUAUAAAGACAGUCCAUAUUUGCUUUUAUCUGGAAAAGCCAGCAGUAGCCCUGGACUAUAAUGGCACAGAGGUUUACUGAAGCCUAUUUUUAUUUUCCCAGGUAUUGCAUCAGGACUUUAGCCCUACAGUUUCCCUGAGAUCCUAUGUUUUCUUUUCCUUUUAUUUUUCUUUAUUAAAUAUAUAUUUUUUAAUAGAGAUGAGGUUUUGCUAUGUUUCCCAGGCUAGUCUUUAACUCCUGAGCUCAAGCGAUUUACCCACCUCAGUUUCCCAAAGUGCUGGGAUUACAAGCAUGAGCCACCCUCCGCCUGGUUGAAAUCCUAUUCUUAUUCAGUAUGCAGAUGACAUGUUAUGCUCUCCCACUGAAGAGUGCUCUGGGCCAGGCCUGGUGGCUCACGCCUGUAAUCCUAGCACUUCGGGGUGCUGAGGCAGGCAGAUCACUUGAGGUCAGGAGUCCAAGACCAGCUUGGCCAACAUGAUGAAACCCUGUCUCUACUAAAAAUACAAAAAUUAGCCAGUGAUGGUCACUCCCGCCUGUAGUCCCAGCUACUCAGGAGGCUGAGGCAGGAGAAUCGCUUGAACCCAGGAGGUGGAGGUUGCAGAGAGCUGACCAAGAUUGUGCCACUGCACUCUAGUCUGGGCAACAAAGCGAGACUCCUUCAAUUAAAAAAAAAAAAAAACUAGUGCCCUGAUACCAAAGGUGUUGAAUGAGGCAAAGGAAAAAAACACAGUGCUCUGAAAUUGACUCCAUUACCUUUUACAGCAACUCCCUCACCCACAUAGGUCACAAAGCUUUGGUGGAAAAACUUUAGUUUUAUGUCAAGAGAAAAGUUUACUAUUUGGGAUAUGACUUGACUGCUAAAGGGAUUUCUCUCUCACCUGACAGAAUAAAAACAAUUCAGAGUUUUUCUCAGCCUGCAACCAAAUGACGAUUAAGAGGUUUGCUUACACUUGCAGGAUAUUGCAGAUCCUGGAUCCUCAACUUUUCUGUGAUGUCUUCACCGUUGUAUGAGCUCACUAGAAACACAGUCCCAGCGCAUUACCUUGAGCCGACAGUCAUGGGCAGGCUUUUAACCAUGAAAUCGGCCUUACAACCGCCCCCAGCUUUAUGACUUUCAAAUUAGGCUAAACCUUUUACCUUGUUCGUUCCUAAACCUCAUAUCAGGCAUUAGGAGUUCUUACCCAAAAACAUGGGGAGAAACAGGCCCAUUGCCUAUUAUAAGCUGCAAUUAGACCCAGUAGCUAAGGCAUAUCCUAAUUAUUUAAAAGCAGUAGCAGCAGAAGCCUAGUUGGUAGAAGCUUCAUAGGAGCUGGUUUUAGGAAAUGAACUUAAUUUGCAAGUUCCAUAUGCUGUGGAAAAGCUAUUAAAUUCCAACCAAACUCAGCAUUUUUCAGUAAGUAGACUAACAUCUCAUGAAAUUCUUCUCCUGUCUCUCCUCUCCAUCUAAAAUGUUGCAACCUACUUACCCCUGCUAUUUAUUUACCUCUGCCUGACAAUGGUGAAGAUCACAGUUGUGUGAGUGUAGUAUCAGAAGUUGGUUGGGCACAGUGGCUAAAGCCUGUAAUCCCAACACAUUGAGAGGCCAGGGCGGGCAAAUCACAAGAGGUUAGGGGUUCGAGACUAGGCUGGCCAACAUGGUGAAACCCCGUCUCUAUUAAAAAUGCAAAAAUUAGCUGGAUGUGGUGGCAGGUGCCUGAAAUCCCAGCUACUCAGGAGGCUGAGGUGGGAGAAUCACUUGAUCCCAGGAGGCAGAGGUUGCAGUAAGCCAAUAUUGCACCAGGGCACUCCAGCCUGGGCCACAGAGACAGGCUCUGUCUCAAAAAAGAAAAAGGAGAAAAUAAAUAGUGGGCAGUGCAUUCUGCACUUCUGCGGAUCUGUCUCUUGCUUCAACAGUGUUUUGGCUGAUGCCAGUAAUCUCAGCACUUUAGGGAGCGGAGGCAGGCGGAUCACUUGAGGUCUAGAGUUCGAGACCAGCCUGGCCAACACAAAACUCCAUCUCUACUAAAAAUAAAAAAAUUAGCCGGGCAUGGUAGCGGGCGCCUGUAAUCUCAACUAUUUGGGAGACUCAGGCACGAGAAUCACUUGAAUCCAGAGGGCAGAGGUUGCAGUGAGCCUAGAUCGCACCACUGCACUUCAGUGUUGGUGACAAAGCGAGACUCCGUCUCAAAAACACAAACAGUAUUUGGAUGGACCAGACCCAGGUCUCCCUCUCUUCCAGCCGCUGACUGCUCUCCACUCUCCCCUCCACUUGCAACCUCUAGACUAUCUUCUCUGCCACUGCCUGCUUCUGGGACCAGCCAACACCAUUUUUGUGAAUUGCUCCUUUUCUUAUCAACCAUGAGCUCCUAGAUUCAUCAGAAUUACUCUACCAAGAUGGAGACAGCUGUCAAGCACCUGGUCAGCUGGCAUCUGCAGGCCACCUACACCUGCCUCUCUCUGGGCUUCUAUUUCAACUGCCAAGAUGUGGCAUUCAAAGGCAUGGGCCACUUUUUCCACAAAUUGUCCAAGGAAAAGCACGAGGGCACCAAGUGUCUCCUGAAGAUGCAAAACCAGUGUGGCAACCACACUGUCUUCCAAAACUUCCAGAAGCCAUCUCAACAUGAGUGGGGCCACAUUCCCCAUGAUGUCAUUAUUGUGCAUUGCAUGACCAUAUCAGAAUAUAUCAUGAACCCCGUAAAUAAAUACACCUGCUAUGCACCCACAAAAAUUAGAAAUUAGAAAAUAUUUUUUAAGAUGAGUGGGGUAAAACCCUGGACACCAUGGAAGCCACCACAGUCCUGGAGAAGAACCUGAUCCAGGCCCUUCUGGAUCUUUAUGCCCGGGUUUCUGCCCACACAAACCCCCAUCUCUGUGACUUUCUAAAGAGCCUCUUCACAAUGAGGAAGUGAAACUGAUUAAAAAGAUGGGAAACCACUCUGCCAACCUCUGCAGGUUGUCUGGCCCCCAGGCCAACUGGACCAGUGUCUCUUUGAAAGGCUCACCCUCAAGCACAUCUAGGAGCCUACUAAACUGAGUAACUUCAGAAGGCCCCCUCUCAAAGUACCAGGGCUUCUGCCUGGGCCUCUCCCUCCAGCCACUGGGCAGCUUUUUAACCACUUUGGAGCUUUCUCCUUGCCUUGGACCAAACAGAAAUAAAGCUUUUUUCAACAGCAAAGAAACGGGAGGUGGGGCAGAAGAAAAGAAAGAACAAAAAAGUAAUAGCAACUCCUUAUGUUGAUUUACAAGAUACUCUGUAGGAUAAUCCUGAGUCAAUACUUUUUGUUGAUGGGUCCCAUGCUAAAAACUUGGAAGGAAAAUAAUAAGUAAGAUAUGCCAUUACCGGCCAGGCAUGAUGGCUCACACCUGUAAUCCCAGCACUUUGUGAACUCACCUGAUGUUGUGAGUUCAAGACCAGCCUGACCAACAUGGAGAAACCCCAUCUCUACUAAAAAUACAAACUUAGCCGGGCAUUGUGGCACAUCCCUGUAAUCCCAGCUACUCCGGAGGCUGAGGCAGGAGAGUCACUUGAACCCGGGAGGGGGAGAUUGUGGUGAGCCAAGAUUGCACCACUAUACUCCAGCCUGUGCAACAACAGCAAAACUCCGUCUCAAAAAAAAGAUAUGCCAUUACCACCCAAAAUGAGUUAACAGAGAAGGGAACUCUUCCUCAGUCUAAGGCAGCUCAACCUAAGGAGAUUUUGCUCUCAUCUAAGCUUGUUAUAUAGCUAAUGACAAAUCAGUAAAUAUUUAUACAGAUGUGGAUAUGUUUCUGGAGUAGGAUGUGAUGUUUUGCAUGUUAUGGAAAAAAUAAAGAUUCUCAGAGGCUGCCGGACCCGUGCCAGUGAACUGGCCGCUUCACAAAGAAAAAAAAGGAUUUCUCUCUUGUAUUGGGAGCCCUAUCAAAAAUGGACUCCAAUUAGAUGAAUUCCUUUCUGCUAUCCUGUUACUGUCACAGAUUGCCAUUAUUAAGAUUGAUGCCCAUACCUGUAAAACUCAGCCAAAUAUCAAGGAACUGCCCCAGUAGAUUUUAAUGCUGAGUCAGCUAGUGCUGAAACUGUUGACAUAUGCAAUUUGGAUGAACUCCAUAAGGUUAAUCCAAGUGAACUACUCCCUUUUGAUGACCUACUUAAUAAACAGUGCAAUGCAUCUAAUUUGGAAAAACAAAAUUGAUAUCUAAAAGUAUAUACAAACAUUAGCUGGACAUGCUGGCACCUGCCUGUAAUACCAGCUACUCUGGAGACUGAGGCAGGAGGAUUACUUGAACUGGGGAGACAGAGGUUGCAGUAAACUGAGAUAGUGUCACUGCACUAUAGCCUGGGCGACAAAGCAAGACUCCAUCUCAAAAUUAAAUAAAAAUAUAUAAAUUCAGUGUUAAUCACAGUCUCACAGAGGGUUUGGAUGGCCACCUAGUCCUACCUGAGUCUUUAAAGCUUCCAUUGUUAAAAGCUCUGCACUUUGUAACUCAUUGUGAAACAGAAAAAGUAUUCCAGGCCACAUACUGUGGUUCACGCCUGUAAUCCCAGCACAUUGGGAGGCUGAGGCGGGCAGAUGGCCUGAGGUCAGGAGUUCAAGACCAGUCUGGCCAACAUGAUGAAACCCUGUCUCUACUAAAAAUACAAAAGUUAGCCAGGCACAGUGGCACAUGCCUGUAGUCCCAGCUACUGGGGAGGCUGAGGCAGGAGAAUCACUUGAACCCAGGAGGCAGAAGCUGCAAUGAGCCAAGAUAGCACUGCUGUACUCCAGCCUCUCACUCAGGUGACAGACCAAGACUUCAUCUUCAAAAAAGAAAAAAUAUUUCAAAUUAUUAAAAAGUAUGGGUGGGGUGACUAUUCUAAAAUUGCUAAAAUGGUUUAUAACCAAUGUUUCGUUUAUCAAACGCAUAGUCCUGGGAAACAAUCAAACCUUCAGGGGGUAUACUUCCAGCACCUAAUGAACCAUCUGGAUAUUUACAGAGAGACUCCAUUCAGUUGCCACCCUCAGUGGGCUAUCAGUAUGUUCUUGUCAUAGUUGUAUGUUUUCGGGUUGGGUAGAGGCUUUUCCAUGUAGGAAAGCCAUACUGUGAGAGUAGCUUAAAAAAUUACAAAAUCUGUUUUCUCUACAAGAAAGAUUUCUCUACUGGAGAAGUCUAUAGCAAUAGUAGACCUCAUUUUACUAGGCAAGUUAUAAAGCAGUUAAAUAAGGUGUUACCCAGCCUGACCAACAUGGAGAAAACCUGUCUCUACUAAAAAUACAAAAAUUAGCCAAGCGUGGUGGCACGUGCCUGUAAUCCCAGCUACUCUGGAGGCUGAGGCAGGAUAAUCACUUGAACCAAGAAGGCAGUGGUUGCAGUGAGCUGAGAUCACCAUUGCACUCCAGCCCAGGCAACAGAGUGAGAAUCGAACUCAAAAAAAAAAAAAAAAGAAAGAAAGAAAAAGAAAAAAAAAUGAAGAAUCUAGGCUGGGUGCAGUGGCUCACACCAGUAACCCCAGCACUUUGGGAGGCCAAGGCAGGUGAAUCAUGAAGUCAGGAGUUUGAGACCAGCCUGGCCCAUGGUGAAACCCAGGCUCUACUAAAAAUAUGAAAAAUUAGCUGGGUAUAGUGGCGGUCACCUGUAAUCCCAGCUAUUCUGGAGGCUAAGGCAGAAGAAUCUCUUGAACCCAGGAGGCGAAGGUUGCAGUGAGCCUAGAUCGCGCCAAUGCACUAGAGUGAAACUCUGGCUCAAAAAAAAAAGUGGGGGGUUGCAGACACACUGCCCUUGUCCCUAUACCCUCAGACUCCCAGAAAGGUUGAAAGAACAAAUAGCAUCUUAAAACUUAAAUUGGAAAAGUUAACAGAGUCAAAUGGAUUACCUUGGCCAAAGGUCCUACCAUUGGCUUUACUGGUAAUCACAUCCAUUCCCACUGGAAAACAUAACUUGACCCCUUUAUAAAGUGGUCACUAGAAGGCCCAUGCUCCUAAUAAUAGAACUCCAUGCAUCUCUUCCGCUCCUUGUCUCUCAUAUGACUCAAUAUUGCAAGGCUUUAAUGCAUUAUGCCAAAGUGUAUUUUCAGCAGGUAAAGGAAUUGUUAAUGACCCAUCAACUGAGGACGGUCAAAUGGUUCAAAGUCUAGGGUCUGGAAAUUGGAUCAUCUGGAAAUGACAUCAGAGGAGACUGCCCUUGAACCUUGUUGGAAGGAAAGUACAAAUUUCUUCUCAACACCCACAGUACAGUGAAGCUUAAGGGCUUCGAAUCUUAUGUCACAGCUCAAAAGGACCCCCUCAGAUUCUUGGAACUGUACCUUGGUUGACAAGUUUAAGGUAAAGGCAACCAGGGAAAUUUCUCCCCUGAAGCAGAAGGCAUACUAGAAGUGGAGAGAUUUUCCAAGAUCAUGGAGCAAAACUUCUCUGCCAUCAUAAAAGCCUUAUGCCUUGGCUGGGCACAGUGGCUCAUGCCUGUAAUCCCAGCACUUUGGGAGGCCAAGGCAGGCAGAUCACAAGGUCAGGAGAUCAAGACCAUCCUGGCUACCAUGGUGAAACCCCGUCUCUACUAAAAAUACAAAAAAAAAAAAAAUUAGCCGGGCGUGGUGGUGCAAGCCUGUAGUCCUAGCUACUCGGGAGGCUGAGAGAAGAGAGUCGAUUGAACCCAGGAGGCAGAGCUUGCAGUGAGCCAAGAUCGCACCACUGCACUCUGGUCUGGGCUACAGAGUGAGACUCCUUCUCAAAAGAAAAAAAUGCCUUACGCCUUUUUCUUUUUUCCUCAUUUCCUCCUGUCCUAUCCUUUCCUUUUUCCUACAGAAAAGUCUAUAGGACUAUAAUCAAGCUUUAGCUCAAGCUAAUGCCCUAGCGCAAAACCAGAGCAACCGCUGGGUUUCUGGGCUAAUGGCAAAAAAAAAAUCAGAGAGCAAUUCCACUAACACUAAUGCCUCUCUGUGUUUUCAAUAAGAGUCACCUAAAAAUUUCAAAGGAAGAGCAGAAAGCGAUCCUUGAUAUUCUAAAUAUCAUUGCUAAUGGCUUUCCUGCACUCUAACUUUUUCAGUUAAUAACCUAAGCCUAUAAUCUCAGCACUUUGGGAGGCCGAAGCAGGCAGAUCACAAGGUCAAGAGAUAGAGAUCAUCCUGGCCAACAUGGUGAAACCCCAUCUCUACUAAAAAUACAAAAGUUAGCUGGGUGUGGUGACACAUUCCUGUGGUCCCAGCUACUCAGGAAGCUGAGGCAGGAGAAUCACUUGAACCGGGAGGUGGAGGUUGCAGUGAGCAUCACUGCACUCCAGUCUGGGUGACAGAGCGAGACUCAGUCUCAAAAAAAACAAAUAAAAAAAAAUUUUAAAUAACCUAAUUGUUAGCAAAUAUAGAAAAUCUGAGUGAUGCCAGCACAAGGCAUAUCGUGCCUCCAGGCAUCACACACUCAAGAUCUGGGAACUUGUGCAAUUAAUUGUACUUAUGUGUGUACAAGUAAUUGCUUAUAUAAUGUUACUGGAUUAAAUCCAGUAGGAUCCUUUUUGACUAAAUGUGGUAAUACAGUAAGUCCUCACCUAACAUUGUUUAUAGGUUGUUGGAAACUGCAAGUAUAAGCAAAAUGCAGUGCACAGCAGAUACUCAAAUAAUGCAUUUUGUUCAGCCUCAUUUCAUUAUAAUGUUGAUGAGAAAAAAAUGGUUUUAUUAUAGUCAUUUUGCUUAAAGCUGCAGUUUCCAAGAACCUACCAAUGAUGUUAAGUGAGGAUUUACUGUACAGCCUUACAGCAUGUUAUAAAGGGGACACAAAAAAAGUGGAUUUUCUGCUGAACCUUGUUCAGAAGCUAUGCAGAUUUGUGGGUGAAGAAAUUUAAGUGACAUUGCUAAAACACAACUAGGUCGCCCUCAUUUCAAGCCCCUGAGGGCCUAUAUUGGGUCUGUGAAGCAUCUGCUUAUUUCUUUCUGCAUUUUUCUUUUCUUUUUUUUUUUUGAGACGGAUUCUCACUGUGUGCCCUAGGCUGGAGUGCAGUGGUGCAAUCUCAGCUCACUGCAACCUUCACCUCCCAGGUUGAAGUGAUCAUCCUGCCACAGCCCCCCAAGUAGCUGGUAUUACAGGCACACCCCACCAUGCCCGGCCUCAUUCUGCCUUUUUGCUGGUUCAGAUCUUGCUAUUUGGCCUAGCUCAUUAUUGCCUUUUGAAUAGCUUCCCCUGGAAGUCUCCAUAAUAGCUCCUACAAUCGGUGGUCAAAAUUGUCAAUAACAGAAAUUAGCACCAACCUUAAAUUAGAUAAAGAUAAACUAGUUUCCAAUGAGGGACGAUUCUAAUAGGGUUCCUCGGGGCCUACUGUUGGUGGUAGUGGGAUGCCAGUUGUAUGGAAUUUAGUGGUGGCUCAAGCCUAUAAUCCCAGCACUUGGGAGGCUCUAUGAAUGGAUCACGAGGUCAGGAGUUCGAGACCAGCCUAGCCAAUAUGGUGAAACCCUGUCUCUAAUAAAAAUGCAAAAAAUUAGCCAGGCAUGGUGGUGUGCACCUGUAGUCCCAGCUACUUGGGAGGCUGAGGCAGAAGAAUUAUUUGAACCCAAGAGGCAGAGGUUGUAGUGAGCUGAGAUUGUGCCACUGCAUUCCAGCCUGGGUGACAGAGCAAGACUCCAUCUUGGAAAAAAAUAUGCUGAUCUAUAAAUUGGAAAAAAAUCUUAGAUUUUGUAGCCAAUCAGAUUUCCCAGGGUUUUAAAUGGCCAUUCUCCAAAAAGUGGAUGAUAGCAUACACAUUCAACACAAACUUAAUAGAAUAUCAUACAGCUUAUAGACCUUCUUUUUAAAAGUCUAUAAAACUAAGGGUUUAUGUUUGGUGUGGAAAAAAACUGAAUGUUGGCCAGUCGCAGUUGCUCACACCUGUAAUCCCAGCACUUUGGGAGGCCGAGGUGGGUGGAUCACCUGAGGUCAGGAGUUCAAGACCAGCCUGGCCAACAUGGUGAAACCCCAUCUCUACUUAAAAUACAAAAAUUAAUCGGGCAUGGUGGCAGGUGCCUGUAAUCUCAGCUACUAGGGAGGCUGAGUCAGGAGAAUCUCUUGAACCCAGGAGACAGACGUUGUAGUGAGCCGAGAUUGUACCAUUGCACUCUAGCCUGGGCAACAGAGCAAGACUCGGUCUCCAAAAAAAAAGAAAAAAACAGAAUCACACUGCCACCUAGGUUGUAGUAUAAUGGUGUGAUCAAGGUUCAUGGAAGCCUAGUCUCAACUUCCUAGGUUCAAAUGAUCCUCCCACCUCAGCCUCACAGGUAGCUGGGACUACAGGUGUGCACCAGUAUGCCCAGCUACUUUUUAAAUUUUUUUGGCGAGACGAGGUCUCACUAUGUUGCCCAGGCUAGUCUUGAACCCUUGGGCUCAAGCAAUCCUCCCUACUUGGCCUCCUAAAUCACUGAGUUUAUAGUUGUUUGCCACUAUACCCAGCCUCAAGCUUCUUUUUAUAUUGUGCAAUAAGGUCAGGAGCAACUGGUGACCACAGAUAUAUGGGCAUCUGCAGGGGUCCAAGGAGUUUGCAGAACUUCUUGCUCAGGGUCAGUUACUUGCCGGAUGACACAAACCAGGCCACCUUGUUCCUAUAAAUCUUUAACAUAACACUGUUACUUGUAUGCAUACUUUCUUGUCUCCUCAGGGGUCUGUUUCAAAAGAGAAACAGUGGCCCAGAGUAGUGUCUGGUGCCUGCAAUCCCAGCACUUUGGGAGGCCAAGGCCGGUGGAUCACUUGGAGUUAGGAGUUCGAGACCAGCCUGGCCAACAUGGCGAAACACUGUAUCUACUAAAAAUACAAAAAUUAGCCAGGCAUCUGGGAGUGGUGGCACGGGUCUGUAAUCCCAGCGACUCACAAAAAUCGCUUGAACCUAGGAGGUGGGGGUUGCGGUAAGUCAAGAUUGCACUACUGCACUCCAGCCUGGGAUAGAGUGAGACGCUGUCUCAAAAAAAAAAAAAAUUAAAAAAGAGAAAUAGUCAUCAUUUCUAAAUUACAAAUUAUUUCCAUGAUUAUGUCAGCCUACGUGUAGGAAUGAGCAAAGGCAGAUAGCUUGUGUUAAAGAAACAGGAUGGAGAUAGCUACCUUAGAUUUCUGUUACAAUAUUAUUUACUUGAAGCUGCAAUUUAAUCUGAAUGCAUUCAGAGACUUGGCAAGAAAAAAAAAAGAAAAGAAGUCGUAAUUUAAUUGGAAUCUUGUUUUUGUUUCUGUUUUAGAGACAGGGUCUCACUAUGUUGCACAGGUUGCCCUUGAACUCCUGGCUCCAAGUGAUCCUCCUACUUCACACUCCAGUAGCUGAAUUUUAGGUGUAUGACACCAUACCUGGCUCGAAGUCCUGUUUGUUUUGUUUUAUCAAGACAGGGUUCUGCUCUGUUGCCUACGCCGGAGUGCAGUGGUACAAACCCGGCUCACUGUAGCCCUGACCUUCCAUGCUUAAGCAGUCUUUCCAAGUAGCUGGGACUACAGGUAUAUGCUACCACACCCAGCUGAUUUUUUGCCUUUUUGCAGAGACAAGAUCCCAUUAUGUUGCCUGGGCUGAUCUUGAACUCUUGGGCUCUGCCCAUCCCCUUGAGCCUCCCAAAGUGCUGGGGUUAUGGGUAUGAGCCUCUACACUUGGCCAAGUCCUGUACUUUUGCUUGUUAAGUAAUACAUCCUCACACCGGGCACAGAAAAUGAGGAAACGGUUGCAAGACCUUGGCUACAGAAUGCAUCACCACAUCAGAGAAGUAUAUGGGAGGCCGAGGAGGGCAGAUCACUUGAAGUCAAGAGUUCAAGACCAGCCUGGCUAACAUGGUGAAAUCUGUCUCUACCAAAAAUACAAAAAUCAGCUGGGCAUGGUGGCAGGCACCUGUAAUUCCAGCUACUCAGAGGCUGAGGCAGGAGAGUUGCUUGAGCCCUGGAGGAAGAGGUUGCAGUGAGUCCAGAUCGCACCACUGCACUCCAGCCUGCGAGACAGAGUGAGACUCCAUCUCAAAAAAGAGGAGGAGGAGGGGGGAGGGAGGAGUAUAAAGCCUGAUUUUCUGAAUAAUCUGUGUGUCUGCUCCCAGCAAAGCUUAUCACAUAAAGGGCAUCAUCUGUCCAGAUAGAUCUACAAACAGCAGCAAAGACAAUACACUAGGUACAUCUAGUUAUCCUUCAAAAGGCAGUUCAAAUGUCACCUCUUCUUUGAUGUUCAGUUAACUCUGCCCCAAGCCAAACAAACAGCUCCUCGCCUUGUGUUCUCCAAAGCUCAGUGUCCAUGCUGUGAAGCCCUGGCAAUUCAAAAGUGAGCCGUUGUUUAUGGAUCACAGGUGGUCACGCUGCGAUUCUCUGAGCUCUGUGUGUGCAGAGCUCUCACUCUGCUCAGCUUUGCCACCACAGUGUCCACCAUGGUGCCAGAUUGAGGCCACAGAGGCUCUACAAAUGUUUUGUUCAAUGAACAAGUGAAUAAAGAAUAAAGGCUCCUAUUUUAGAAAUGGAACAACCAAGGAAAAAUUAAAUCUGAUUCAACUUUCCUUUUUAUUUUUUGAGUCUGGUUCUGUCACCCAGGCUGGAGUUCAGUGGCAUGAUCUCAACUCAGUGCAACCUCCGCCUCCCAGGUUCAAGUGACUCUCCUGCCUCAGCCUCCUGAGUAGCUGGGACUAUAGGUGCACGCCACCAUGUCCAGCUAAUUUUUUUGUAUUUUUUUAGUAGAGACAGGGUUUCUCUUGAACUCCUGACCUCAUGAUCUACCCGCCUUGGCCUCCCAAAGAGCUAGGAUUUACAGGCGUGAGCCACCGUGCUUGGCCUCAACUUUCAAUUCAUACUUUUUUUUUUUUUAAUGUUUUAAUGGGUCUACCGCAAACAAGGAAAAUGAAUAUUUUAGAACUUGGAGUGAGACACCUCGAUGUACAGUGAUUGGAAGAGAUGCUUGUGAUGACAGACGCCGAACACCACUCUUCCUGGCCUGGGGCCAACAUCGCAUCGAGGGUGAUGGGUUUCCCUCCUCUACCAGUUUCUGCCUUGCACGGUGAUGGAACGAGCCUGGAUGGAAAAGUCCCCAGCUUCCGUUCUAACUCUGUGACCAUGGGCAAGUCAUUUUGCCUUGGUUUUCUCCUUUUUGAACUGCAAAGGAUGAUCUAAACUAAGUAAUCCCUAAAGUGCUGUUCAAUAGGGAACAGCACUUAUUGAGGUUCUUCAGUGCAGAUAUCUCUAGGGAUACAAAACAAGACCUAGUCCCUGACCUUCAGGAACUCACAGACUGCUGGAAAGACAGAGAAGCACAAGUUAAAUGCCCUCAAGUGUGGCUGAUACUCUGCACACACACAAAAAGAGGCAAUUGUCACCAUUUACUUUUCAUUCACAAUCAUCAUGUGCCAGUCACAGUCCCAAUUCCCACUGCCACCUUGUGAAUGAGCAUCAUUUUAAUCCUCAUUUAAGGAAGUGAAAUGACUUGCUCAAGGUCACUUGGCUAGUAUGUGUGCAGAGCUGCUAUUGAAAUAAGGCUGUCUGACUCAGGAACUAGCCCUCAACUGGAUGUGGUGGCCCACACCUGUAAUCCCAGCACUUUGAGAGGCCGAGGCAGGUGGAUCACCUGAGGUCAAGAGUUUAAGACCAGCCUGACCAAUAUGGUGAAACCCCAUCUCUACUAAAAAUACCAAAAAAAAAAUUAGCCAAGUGUGGUGGCGGGUGCCUGUAAUCCCAGCUACUCGGGAGGCUGAGUAAGGAGAAUCACUUGAACCUGGGAGGUGGAGGUUGCAGUGAGCUGAGAUAGUGCCACUGCACUCCUCCCUGAGUGGUGGAGUGAGUCUCCAUCUCAAAAAAAAAAAGAACUAGCCCUCUGGCAGCCAUAAAGAAGAAUGAAGUCACGUCCUUCGCAACAACAUGGAUGCAGCUGGAGGCCAUCAUCCUCAGCGAAUUAACGCAGGAAGAGGAAAACCAAUACCACAUGUUAUAAAUGAGAGCCAAACAUAGAACACACCUGGACAUAAAGGCAGAAACAACAGGCACUGGGGUCCACCAAAGGGUGAAAGGAGGGAGGUGGCAAGGGCUGAAAAUCUACCUUUUGGAUACUAUGGCAGGCCCAGUCACACCUCAAAAGUAGCAUCACGAAAUAUGCCUUUGUAACAGACCUUCACGUGUAUCCUCAAUUCUAAACUAAAAGUUGAAAAAGAAAAAAAAAUAGUAAAAGAGCAAAAAUAUUUUUAAAUCACUUAAAAAAAAAAAAAAACCAGCCCCCAUAACUACUCAGCACACUGCUUCUCAAUAUGUGAAAAGGAUCAGGGGCAGUGCCAA